Molecule: RNA transcript, 3972 nt
Organism: Pecten maximus
Lineage: Eukaryota; Metazoa; Mollusca; Bivalvia; Pectinida; Pectinidae
Exons: 3
Source: RefSeq, a predicted model, not a curated record
GUUCUGACUGGGUACGGGUGAUCCUGAGGUAGGACCAGGUUCUGACUGGGUACUGGGUGAUCCUGAGGUAGGACCAAGUUCUGACUGGGUACUGGGUGAUCCUGAGGUAGGACCAAGUUCUGACUGGGUACUGGGUGAUCCUGAGGUAGGACCAGGUUCUGACUGGGUAAUGGGUGAUCCUGAGGUAGGACCAGGUUCUGACUGGGUAUUGGGUUACCCUGGGGUAAUUGUGUGUUCUGACUGGGUAUUGGGUUUUCCUGGGGUAAUUGUGUGUUCUGACUGGGUAUUGGGUUGUCCUGGGGUAAUUGUGUGUUCUGACUGGGUAUUGGGUUACCCUGCGGUAAUUGUGUGUUCUGACUGGGUAUUGGGUUUUCCUGAGGUAAUUGUGUGUUCUGAGUGGGUAUUGGGUUGUCCUGGGGUAAUUGUGUGUUCUGACUGGGUAUUGGGUUGUCCUGAGGUAAUUGUGUGUUCUGACUGGGUAUUGGGUUGUCCUGAGGUAAUUGUGUGUUCUGACUGGGUAUUGGGUUGUCCUGGGGUAAUUGUGUGUUCUGACUGGGUAUUGGGUUGUCCUGGGGUAAUUGUGUGUUCUGACUGGGUAUUGGGUUAUCCUGGGGUAAUUGUGUGUUCUGACUGGGUUUUGGGUUGUCCUGGGGUAAUUGUGUGUUCUGACUGGGUAUUGGGUUGUCCUGGGGUAAUUGUGUGUUCUGACUGGGUAUUGGGUUGUCCUGAAGUAAUUGUAUGUUCUGACUGGGUAUUGGGUUGUCCUGAGGUAAUUGUGUGUUCUGACUGGGUAUUGGGUUUUCCUGGGGUAAUUGUGUGUUCUGACUGGGUAUUGGGUUGUCCUGAGGUAAUUGUAUGUUCCGACUGGGUAUUGGGUUGUCCUGAGGUAAUUGUGUGUUCUGACUGGGUAUUGGGUUGUCCUGAGGUAAUUGUGUGUUCUGACUGGGUAUUGGGUUGUCCUGGGGUAAUUGUGUGUUCUGACUGGGUAUUGGGUUGUCCUGGGGUAAUUGUGUGUUCUGACUGGGUAUUGGGUUGUCCUGGGGUAAUUGUGUGUUCUGACUGGGUAUUGGGUUAUCCUGGGGUAAUUGUGUGUUCUGACUGGGUUUUGGGUUGUCCUGGGGUAAUUGUGUGUUCUGACUGGGUAUUGGGUUGUCCUGGGGUAAUUGUGUGUUCUGACUGGGUAUUGGGUUGUCCUGAAGUAAUUGUAUGUUCUGACUGGGUAUUGGGUUGUCCUGGGGUAAUUGUGUGUUCUGACUGGGUAUUGGGUUGUCCUGAGGUGACUGGGUAUUGGGUUUUCCUGAGGUAAUUGUGUGUUCUGACUGGGUAUUGGGUUGUCCUUGGGUAAUUGUGUGUUCUGACUGGGUAUUGGGUUGUCCUGGGGUAAUUGUGUGUUCUGACUGGGUAUUGGGUUGUCCUGGGGUAAUUGUGUGUCCUGACUGGGUAUUGGGUUGUCCUGGGGUAAUUGUGUGUUCUGACUGGGUAUUGGGUUGUCCUGGGGUAAUUGUGUGUUCUGACUGGGUAUUGGGUUGUCCUGGGGUAAUUGUGUGUUCUGACUGGGUAUUGGGUUGUCCUGGGCUAAUUGUGUGUUCUGACUGGGUAUUGGGUUGUCCUGAAGUAAUUGUAUGUUCUGACUGGGUAUUGGGUUGUCCUGAGGUAAUUGUGUGUUCUGACUGGGUAUUGGGUUGUCCUGAGGUAAUUGUGUGUUCUGACUGGGUAUUGGGUUAUCCUGGGGUAAUUGUGUGUUCUGACUGGGUAUUGGGUUGUCCUGGGGUAAUUGUGUGUUCUGACUGGGUAUUGGGUUGUCCUGGGGUAAUUGUGUGUUCUGACUGGGUAUUGGGUUGUCCUGGGGUAAUUGUGUGUCCUGACUGGGUAUUGGGUUGUCCUGGGGUAAUUGUGUGUUCUGACUGGGUAUUGGGUUGUCCUGGGGUAAUUGUGUGUUCUGACUGGGUAUUGGGUUGUCCUGGGGUAAUUGUGUGUUCUGACUGGGUAUUGGGUUGUCCUGAAGUAAUUGUAUGUUCUGACUGGGUAUUGGGUUGUCCUGAGGUAAUUGUGUGUUCUGACUGGGUAUUGGGUUGUCCUGAGGUAAUUGUGUGUUCUGACUGGGUAUUGGGUUAUCCUGGGGUAAUUGUGUGUUCUGACUGGGUAUUGGGUUGUCCUGGGGUAAUUGUGUGUUCUGACUGGGUAUUGGGUUGUCCUGAGGUAAUUGUGUGUUCUGACUGGGUAUUGGGUUGUCCUGGGGUAAUUGUGUGUUCUGAUUGGGUAUUUGGUUGUCCUGAGGUAAUUGUGUGUUCUGAUUGGGUAUUGGGUUGUCCUGAGGUAAUUGUGUGUUCUGAUUGGGUAUUGGAUUGUCCUGAGGUAAUUGUGUGUUCUGAUUGGGUAUUGGGUUGUCCUGAGGUAAUUGUGUGUUCUGACUGGGUAUUGGGUUGUCCUGAGGUGACUGGGUAUUGGGUUGUCCUGAGGUGACUGGGUAUUGGGUUGUCCUGAGGUGACUGGGUAUUGGGUUGUCCUGAGGUAAUUGUGUGUUCUGACUGGGUAUUGGGUUGUCCUGAGGUAUGGUUAUAGAUAGGAUUAAUUAUAAUCUGGCUACCAGUGCCUCUAAACGUUCACCUUCAUUCAUCACAACCAUUAUUUCUUCUCUCUGUUGUUAUUGUUCUGUUUCUUUGAGGAAAUACACUUUGUUAACAUGUUUAAAUUUGUCUAAUAAGAUUAUAACAUUAAUUGAAGAGAAAAAAUUGUAUGGUUUAAGAAUAUAGAAACAACACUUCUGUAUUCCAUUAUAAGAUUUCUAAAAAAUGAAGAUUUGGUGACUUCCUGAAGACAUCUGUGGUGAAUGAAGGUUUAGAAGUGCUGGGUGUGAACCUGGUGUUGUGUUACCUGUGUGCUUUGUAGCUAUCUUCAUCGCUGACAGCAUCAUGACCAAGGUUUCAUCUGGAAGCCUAUUUUGUGCAUUUUAUACACUUUUUGACUUUUUAUAACUGUUCCUCACUAUGUGAACUAUUUUUCUGCUGAAAAUGUUUUUCUAUUUGUGCAUACUUUUGUAGUAUUUAUAUGGUUAAAGGGAGACUGCUCCUAUAAAACUAAUAAAAAAUUUAACAUUAGGUAAUUGCUAUCUUCAUAUCUAUAUAUAUAUUGUGUACAUUUGAGCAAAAUAUAAUCAGAAGUUUUAACAUAAAAAUUCAAAUUGUGUCUUUCUUGGCUGAAGCAUUGUAUUUACACUUGCAUGCAGUGGCAAAUGUUGAGUCCAAAUUGGAAUGGGAUUCCAAUCUCUGUAAUACACCCAGUUUCAAAAUAAUCUGUACAGAAUGGAAAGAUUUUCUGAAGCCUAGAAAAGUUUAUCUGCCACUAACAGGGAUAAUUGUAUUAAACAUGUGUUGUUCUGUGUAUCUAAAGGUUUGUAUAAUCCUAAUGGGGUGGACUGUGGUGUGGAUAUGUAUUACACAGAGCGGUUACAGUAUAGCAUGUUGUCCAGCUGGUAUAAAGUAUGAUGAUAUUCAGACCAAGCUGUUGAUCAAACUAUGCCUUUAUAUACUAAUCAGUCUGUAAGCAUGCCUGUUAUAUGUCUAGACUACCAACCAGGUCACCAAGUAAAUACUAAUGAUAUGAUAGGACCUUGUCCUUGUUCCUGAUGUUGUUACAUUUUAAGGUGUUGACCUCUGAUGGUCAUGUCAACGUUGCCACCUGUAUCUGCUAGCCAUGUUCUACUGUCUGGUACGCUCCACAAAAGUUGUCUCUCCCCUCCAAAAUAUUUACUGUCAAUCUGUUGUUUACAUCUCAAGUUGAAUAUGAUUGAUUUAAGAAAAUGUAUUUUACAUGUGUCAAUCCUUGCAUAAUUUGUAAUUUAACAAAAUAAAGAUUUGUGCUCUCUGUAUACUCUUGAUUAAGGGGAGACAACUUAUUGAGCUGUAAAACUUUUGAUAUUAAUGUGAGCAUGUGUGUAUGUUCUUUCUCUUAUUCUUUGUUUCUUCACAUGUC